This 2013-nucleotide long non-coding RNA is filed under the name Paramuricea clavata. Lineage: Eukaryota; Metazoa; Cnidaria; Anthozoa; Malacalcyonacea; Plexauridae. The record is from RNAcentral.
GGCAAGUGUUUAUUUUUGCAACAAUGUAUUAAUCAAUCCUUACUGCAAUAAUUGUAUUACACAUCACCUGACAUGGGUAAACAUAUAGUAUUUUUUUAAAUAAAUUACAUACCGACAACAUUUGACCAUGCCAGGCAUACAAUACACAUAUAUAUUUACAGUAAAACUAUGUACAGUCAUACUACACAAAAUGUAAGUACUCAAUGACCACUUCCACAAUUGGCCUGAAUGCCCAUUAACAACAGUUCUACUGUAUAUCACAAGUGGCAAUUGUUCCUUACAAGGCUCUUGUAAAGGUCACAGAGAAACAAAUUGUGAAAUUAACCCAUUGAGUCGCAUUGCGCCCUGAUGCACAUUACUUUAUUAUUUCACUCUGUCUAAUGCCAGAUGAUUUUACUCAUCAAGGGGAUAGUGCUGGCGCUUAAUGGGUUAACUAGUCUAUCUGCCCAUGUGUCUAGUUAACCCAUUGAGUCGCAUUGCACCCUAUUUUAUUAUUUUACUCUGUCUAACGUCAGACUCUUUCUAAUGCCAGACAAUUUCACUUGGCAAGGGGAUAGCGCUGGCACUUAAUGGGUUAAUUUAACCAUAACAAGUACACUACAAAUCAAAGUCUGUUUACAUUACAAUUGAACACUGUGAACAUAUCUUCAAGCUGCAUGUUUGCCAGAAAGGCAACAUCAUCAAUAACAUGAAGAAGCUAAAAAGCAAAAUGAUUCUGGAAGUUUGUCAUCAUUUUCUCCUGGAUGGCAACAAAUCUGUGUUUCCAGACCACGAGCUAGGUGCAAACGAAGAUAUGAUCGAAGAUGGCCACCAAGUAAAUCUAAUAAAGUAGCAGCAGACAAAUAUUAUACAUUGUGUCUCUUCAUGUAUGGGAAGCACUACACACCCCCUGUGGAAAUCAACUUCGGUUGACAGGGUUAGCAUGGGUAAAUACAAUUUUUCUAUCUAUCCACAAUCAUACAGAACGAAAUGCCCAGUGACAGGCACCAUUUAAUGCACCAAUCAAUUUAUACUGUUAACAUCCCCCCGGGCAUUUGACAACUUGAGUGGGGCAUUUGACCUUUUGAAUUGCUGUUAGGGUAGGGCAUUUGAUGCUGAGUCACAAGACAUGGGGCAUUUGACCAUUUUAAUGGAUUGUUCCAGAAAAGAUGUACACUCCCCCCACAGAGGAAAUUUCUGCCGUCCGGAGGGGGAGGGGAGAAAAAAUUGUUUCUGAUAAUAGUAAAUGCAUUAGGACAUCCGAAGGGGGUAGGGGGGUUAACUUCCAAUUUCCUCUGUGGGGGUGGUAUGGAUGUUUUCUGGAAUAACCCAAUACACCAGAUUGCACGAGGUCCGAGAUUUAUUAAAAAACAAAAUUCAAAAUGGAGUAUACUUUAAACACUUUUAGAAGCUUUAUAAAGCAUGAGAUGUAAGUUGUUAAUACAGAGUCUCAUUUAUUAAACUGUUGAAGUUACCUUCAGAAUUCAGUGUAUGUUUUCACACAAUUUCAAACUUGAACUGAUAGAAUUACAGUCAGAAUGAUUGGGGGGUUGAGGCAUUUGGACAGCAUUUUUGUCCUGGGAGUGGGAAAUUUGACCACAAAAUUUCAAAAAGUUCAAAUGCCCAGGGGGGAUGUUAACAGUAUAAAUUGAUUGGCGCAUAAACAAGUUGAAUGAUUCUUGUUCAAAAAUCAAUAGUUAUAGCAAAUAAGAGUAAAAUAAGAGUAAAAUAAUACAAUACUUAUCUUUUAAUUAAUGAUUCGUUGGCCUGAGUCCACAAAUAUAGCCCAAACUGAACCAAUUCGUUGCUGUUGGAACGUUUGACUUUUCAGUCAGUAUAAAAGCAAAACGAUGUCGCUCGUCGCUCGAUAAAAUAACUUUAAUAUUCGAUUGAUUGUAUAUUAUAAUCAAGAAUUAUACUUUGCAUUAGAAUUGCUGUUAAAAGAGUUCAAAAAUCUUACGCAUUUCAAGUAAAAACCCCGAAAUUCUUGGUCUUUGAAUCCACACUUGUUAAAAUAUUUUAACACGUUUUUUC